UACACUCUAUUCAAUAUACGUUUUCUGUAAAUACCCGUGACACAUUAUCUCUCUCUUUGACAACCUUUCACUUUAUACAAGACACAAAACAAAAACUCUCUUCUUUAAUAGAAAAAUCACAAUCUUUCUAUAUUUCUUUAAACAAACACACCCGAAAAGACUUAUUCACACAGAUAGUAAAUCAAGAUGGUGAAUGAAGAAAUGGUUCAAGUUCAAUCAAACAUACAAGAAAAUACAUAUACCGGAUAGAAAAUCAGAACGAAAAUGCUUAGAAAGAAAAUGCGCACAAACCCCAACCAAUUUUACGGUCAAAACACUUUGCCGGAAAGUUUGCCGGAAAAGUGAUCACCGUUGAAUCGGAUCGAAUCAGAAUAAUAUGAAGGAAUCAAGUCGAGGAACAGGUCGGAUUUUUCCCAUAGGCUCUGAUGCCAAUUGUAAAUAGUAGAUUUAGGCUUAAUUAUGGAUAAAUGGUAGAUUAUGUGUAGUGUGUGAAAAAGUGUGUUUUAGUGUGUGUUUUGAGGGAAUACCGGUAUUAGUAUAGACUUGAUAUUUAGAAUGAUUUUAUUAUAUGUAAGAGUUAAUUACAAAUGGGUGGAAGGGGAUAUUUAUACAUUUCACUAAUUAACAUUAACACUCUUUCCAUUAAUAUAAUUUUACAAUUAAACACCAUGAAUUAUAAAGCUUAACAAUUAUGCAUAUUCAUUUAAUAACUUAGAGCCAGUAACAGUUAUGAUGAUUUCUGUGUUCUUCCUCUUCAAAUCUUGUUCUCAUUUUUUAUUACGGUUUAAAAUGGACUGUAAAACCAAAGGAGAUAAUGCCUUCCAUACUGAAGUAUUUCCAGCCAGUUGUCCGAAAUAGGCCUGUGAUAUUAGAAACAUUAUUUAUAAAUUAUUAGGCACACGAACUUUAGUUUACAACUAAUUAUAAGAAGUAUAUAUAUGAAUAUGAUAUCCACGUGGUGAUCGUAUAUAAUUUUUGGGGUUAACAUAUAUAUUGUUGUUGCUGUACAUAUGUUUGGGUACCACAAGGGCAUUUUCAGGGGACAUUUUUAAAUAUUCAUAAUACUUUCGGAUUAAAUCUGUAACUAUUUUUUAAAUUUUUUUUCGUGCAUAUGUGGGUACUAUUUUUAUAGUACUUAAUUUCAAGAUUUGUUAAAAUAUAGAAAGUUCCUUACUAUUUUAUGCAACUAUAAUAUAAUGGGCCGGAUAAGUAUCUUGAGAUAUAUUAACUUGUACAGUUUUUUUAUUUUCUGUAAAAAAUCUUCGAUCCGAUUCAUUGUAUGUAAAUAAUAUGACUUACUUUGAAGAAGUUAUGAUGGAAAAAACUUCCAUUCCACAAUCAUCGAUCUGCAGUGUAAGCACUAGCAAAGAACCGAGGAACAAUGAAGGAAUGAAAUCUCCUUCAACUUUAACAUCCAAUAUAGGCUCUCCUUCACUUCCCACUACCAUAAUCUGACCGCUUCCCUUAACAACAUAAUUCAUCUGGACCGAUCCAUCUGCUACAUAACUUGGUGCCAAGAUAGAAUUGUCAAUUAACUUCACAAACUUUGCACUAGACCGAUCGCCUCAAGCAUUGGAAAGUUAUUUUCUGUCAAAGAAUUCACAGAUCCGCAGUCUAUGAAAGAAGUGUGGCGCAAUGGUUCAUCAAGGGUUGCGUAUAGUUUUUCUGAUGAACAAACACUCUUUCUUGCUGCCAUAGGUUUUAUAAAGCAUGAGAGUUUUAUUAAAUUUUUUAUUUAGUUGUUGUGUCUUGAUUUGAAUCAUUUUGUUUGUAUUAGUGAUCAUAUUAGUAAAUCUGGUAUUAUCUUGUGUGUAUCGUUUUUUUA
Molecule: long non-coding RNA, 1825 nt
Organism: Erigeron canadensis
Lineage: Eukaryota; Viridiplantae; Streptophyta; Magnoliopsida; Asterales; Asteraceae
Exons: 2
Source: RefSeq, a predicted model, not a curated record